Molecule: RNA transcript, 10273 nt
Organism: Cervus elaphus (red deer)
Lineage: Eukaryota; Metazoa; Chordata; Mammalia; Artiodactyla; Cervidae
Gene: POMGNT2
Gene name: protein O-linked mannose N-acetylglucosaminyltransferase 2 (beta 1,4-)
Exons: 5
Source: RefSeq, a predicted model, not a curated record
GCCUGGCGAACUUCAGUCCAUGGGGUCACAAAGAGUUGGACAUGACCAAGCAACUGAGCAUGCAUGCAUAUAUUCUAAAUAAAAGUCCAAUAUAUGUUUUCAAAUAUUUUCUCUCGAUCUGUGGCUUGCUUUUUCAUGUCCUUAACAGUGACUUUUGAAGAGUAAAAGUUUUUUUGUUUUGAUUAGGUCCAAUUAUUAACAUUUCUCUCUUAGAUAUUUUAUAGGGUUUUACAAGUUAUUCUUCUAAAAUUUUGAUACUUUUUUAUCUUUCAAGUUUUUAUGGUUUUUAACUUAUUGGCAUUAAAUUAUUCAGAACUCUCCCUUAUUUUAAAACUGUAUUUAUUUGGUUGUGCCAGGUCUUAGCUCAUUGUGGCAAGCAAGAUAUUUUCAGUUGUGCCAUGUGGGAUCUAAUUCCCUGACCAGAGAUUGCACCCAGGCCUCCUGAGUUGGGAGUGUGGAGUCUUAGCUACUGGACUGCCAGGAAGUCCCAGUUUUUGCUUAUCAGUCUUUUAAUAUUUGUGAAAUCUGUAUGAUGUCACCUCUCUCAUAGUAUUGGUAAUCUUUUAAUUUUUAUUUUUAUACUGCUAAGUUUUGCUAAAGGCUUACCAAUUUUAUUCAUAUUUUCACUGGUUUUUCUGUCUUGUUUUCUAUUCCUAUUUCUACUGCUCUUCUGAUCUAUAAUUUCCUUCUCAUCUGCUCACUCUUGGUUUAAUUUGUACUUUUUUUUUUUAAGUUUUUCAAGGUAGACACUGAAGACAUCAAUUUGAAAACUUUUUUUAAAACACCUAGGCCUUUAGUGCUAUAAAUUGCUCUUUACUGUUAGUGGCAUCUCACAAAUUUAGAAUGUUGGGUUAUUGUUUUCAUUCAUUCAUAUUUUCUAAUUUACUUUUUGAUCCAUGAGUUAAUUAUAAAUGUGUUAUUUAGUUUUCAAAAAUUGGGGAAUUUUCCCAGUAUGUUUCCAUCAUUGGUUUCCAAUUUAAUUUCACUUUGGUGAGAGAACCUACUUUUAACGUGAAUCCUUUUAAAUUUAUUAACUUAUUUUAUGCACCAAUAUAUUGUGUGACUUGGUAAAUGGUCUGUGUGCAUUUGAAAAAAUGAAUAUUCUACUAUUUGGGGGCAUUCUUUAAAUAUCAGUUAGAUCAAGUUGGUUUUCUUCUACAUCUUUACUGAUUAAUCUUCUACAUUUUUACUUACAUAUUCAAGUCUUUUACAUUGUCAGUGAUUUUAUCUUCUCUUGUUGUACUAAUUAUUCAGAGGGAGGUUUGAAAUCUCUCAGCCCGGUGAGAGCUCUGGGCACCCUUCCCUCCAAUCCCUUUAGGUGGUUCUUUCUUUGGCCUUUGGGAGUUUCCUCAUACACAUACACUGAUCAAUAUUCAACCAAAAAUUUAGGUGGGGACCCUCUCCUGAGCUCUGGAACUUUCUUUUUUUCCCCUUUAUUUUAUUAUUUUUCAAAUUGAAGUAUAACUGAUUUACAGUGAUUCAGGAAUACAGCAAAGUGAUAUAUGCAUACAUAUUUUUUCUUUUCAGAUAUUUCCAUUACAGAUUAUUACAAGAUGUAGAAUCCCUAGGCAGAUGGCCCUUGUUUAUUUUAUGUUUGGUCGUGUGUGUCCAUUGGUUCCCAGUUCCCAGUUUACCCCUCUCCCCCUUUCCCCUUUGGUAACCAAGAGUUUGUUUUCUCUGUGAAUCUAUUCCUGUUUUGUCAAGUUCAUUUGUGUCUUUUUUUUUUUAAGGUUCCACAUAUAAAUGAUAGAUUUGUCUUUGUCUGACUUCACUUAGUAUGGUCAUCUCCAGGUCCGUCUGUGUUGUUGGCAUCAUUUCAUUCUUUUUUAUAGCUGGAACUCUCUCUGUUUGAGAUCUCUGUUCUCCAGUACUCUGCCCUUUGAACUCUGGCUGCUCUGACUACCAAGACUUUCAGCUCUUUCAACUCAGAACUCAGCCUCUUUUUCUUUUCUUUGGCCCUGUGGGCUAGAAACUCUCCUAGUAGUAAGCUGGGGAAAUCGUAAGCUCUGCCUUAUUUUAUUCUCUCUCAGGAAUCACUGUGCAUCGUUAAGCAUGCCUGAUGUUUUCAAAACCACUGUUUCAUAUGCUUUGUCCAAUUUUAUAACUAUUUCAGGCCAGAGGAUAAAUCCAGUCUCUGUUACUCUGGACUGGAGCAGAAAUCCUAACAUCAGCUCUUGACUUCAUAACUUCUCCCACUCUCUGCCCAACGGCUAUCUUUUCUUUUUUUUUUAAAACAAAAACUCUCUCUUAAAUUUUAAAGUGGGAUUCUGUCACCUCCUAGCUUAACAGGCUUCAGUGGCCCCCACUGCUCCGGAAUAGCGCACAGCUCACACAGCCCUGCACGGUGUGUUUCACACUCCCCUCUUCAGCUUUAUGAAUGAAUGAAAGUCGCUCAGUCAUGUCCGACUCUUUACGACCCCAUGGACUCUACAGUCCAAGGAAUUCUCUAGGCCAGAAUACUGGAGUGGGUAGCCUUUCCCUUCUCCAGGGGAUCUUCCCAACCCAGGGGUCGAACCCAGCUCUCUCUCACUGUAGGUGGAUUCUUUACCAGCUGAGCCACAACUCCGCCUCUUGCUCUUUGACCUCUAGCUUUAUUACUCUGGUCUCUGGUGCCUCAGGGCCUUUGCAUAUGCAUAUGCUAUUUCUUCUCUUCCCAUAUCUCUGCCAUCUCUAGUUGGAUAACUCUCACAUCCCCCUCAAAGAAGCCCUCCACGGCAUCUCCAACUGGAAUGUUUUCCUGCCGUCCUUUCCCAAAGCUCUCAGUUCUUUUAUUCUACUUUCCUUUUCACUGAUUGUAUUACAUCUUUGCAUUGUAUUCCUUCAUUGCAUUGUAUUACAUCAGCAUUGCACUUCUCUGCUGGACUUUAAGCUCCAGAGGACGGCAGAUAGUGUCUGCAUUGUUCUCCACUGCAGCUCCAGGAUCUGGCACAGAGCUCCAUACAGGGCAAUGAGUAAGUGAAUAAAGAAGGAAAAGCACAGUGGAGGCUGUCCACAGCCCCUCAGCCUUCCCCUCCAGCCCUGGUACAAUGAAAGCUUCUUAAGAAAAGUGCCUGGGAUUCUCCAUCUGAGGUCUUUCUCCACAGAUGUGGGGCAGAAGGAGGUUCUGAGACUCCUAGAAGCAGUUCCUGCAAAAUGGACAGGAGGUGAAGAAUAAAAGCCUCCGUUCACACCCCACUCACACAAGAUGACUGGGAGGCAGAUUCUCCUCAGUCUCCAGAGCUCGCCAGUAGGACCCAGCCACUGAUUCCCACAGCGGUGGUGUGAUUAAUAAUUCCCCCAUAUUAUUUUUGUUACCUCCCUGUAUCAUUUCCCCAACCCUUGGCUGGAUCUUCCUAGUAUCUUCUCUCAAACUGCUUUCCCUCAAAUUCUUAUUUUGGGGGAACCCGACUUAAGAGAAUGAUACAGCCAAUGAAGAUCAUAGGGGAGUGACAGAUUCCCAUACGUGGGGAUGAUCCAAAUCAUCUAUGCAGCAUCCAGUGUGUUCCCUGGGCUUCAGAAGUCUGACAUUGGAGAAGGAACAAAGGAGGGAGCUCUCUGUGCAAACCCUAUAGGCAGGAGUGGGAAACGAGCAGGCUGUAUUGGAUUUCCUUCCCUGCCCCAGGAAUGGAAUGACUUUUCUGCUCCAACAAGCUGUCUUUGAUUUGUUUCAAGAAUUCUCCUCCCUCAUCUUCAGGAACGAUCUCCCUUCUGUGAGCGUGAUGAUCCUUCACGUGCCAGUGAGACAGAUCACCUGCCCUUCAGGUCACGUUGCUAACGUCAGCCUCAGUACUCUUCCUGCUCUUGCAAAAUGUCUCUUUCACAAGCCAGGAUCAACUUCUUGACAGAAGAACAAAAUAUGGAACACAUUUAUUAUCGGGCCUCCCAUAAUUGUAUAAACUUAACACCAAGCGACCUGGAGAAGGAAGUGGCAGCCCACUCCGGUAUUCUUGCCUGGAGAACGUCAUGGACAGAGGAGCCUGGGGUCCAUGGGGUCACAAAGAGUCGAACACGACUUACCACUGAACAACACGAAGCGCAACUGCACUUCUCCGGGAGCAAACUACAACUCCCAGGAUCCCCCGGGUCGAAGGAGCCGGCACCCAUCGGACGCAAACUGCAAUUCCCAGAAUUCCGCGAGCCAAGGAAGCGGUCCGGCCUCGGGCUGAGGCGGCGGGACCGGCGAGCCUGCGCACGUGCACAGCUGACGCGAGGGGCUCGCCAGCUGGGCAGGCGCACGUAGGGCACCUGCGAGCCGGGCGAGGGUGACGGACCAGACGGCGCGCAGGAGCCUGCGCUCCCUUCCUGGACCUCCACGGCUCCGAGCAGGCGUCUGGGGCAGCGGCGGGCACGGGUUCGGCCAAAGCCAGCUCCGCGGAGGGCCGGCCUGGAAGCUUCAGCCCUGUGGAGCCCGGGCUGUAGGGUGCAGCAGAUAUUUGACUUAUAAUCAGAAAGACAUCAAGCUAUUUCUCCAAAAGAAGUACCUGUGGUGAGGAUUCAGAUCUAAGAAGAGUGAGCCCCCAGAAGGGUGGGCAGGUUGCAUGAGGAGCCCCGGAAACCCUGGACGUGAAAGCAGCUACCAGAAAAUGUAGCAUUUUAUCUAGGGCUCAUAUUCUAUUUCUACUGGAUGGCACUGAGUCAGUAGAGAGAAAACAGCCCUUUGGUUGGAGAGAACAAGGACCCAGAUCUGGAGGAGACUUUGAAGCAAACGGGAGCUCUUUUCUGGAUUUCCGUCCCAUAUAGGAAGGAAAAUCUGCUUCAUGGGAGAAAGGAGAAGGGAAAGUAACACACUAGGAUGAGGACAGGCAAGUAUAGCCUGGGGCUGGGUCUCAGGGGACAGAGGGAACAAAGAGAGGAUGGGAGGGAGGCCCAGGAACAGGCAGGAGCCGGAGACCAGGGAGGCAGAUGGCCGAGGAGGGGCGACCCGAGCCCCUGGGGCAGGGUCGGCAGUAAGUUUUCCAGCAGUGAAGUGAGGCUGAUAAAUAUUAAAUGGGUAUUCUUUAAAAAUUAGAAACAAUCUUUAUUUUAUAUUGGAGUAUAUAGUUGAUUAAUAACCUUGUGUUAAUUUCGGCUGUAUAGCAAAGUGAUUCAGUUACACAUGUACACAUAUCUUUUCUUUUUUUCACAUUCUUGUCCCAUCUAGCUUAUUACAGAGUGAUGAGCAGAGUUCCCUGUGCUAUACAGUAGGUCCUUAUUGGUUAUUAAAUGGAUUCUUGAUCUGUGCUGUCUGUCAUACGCCUCUGCUGUCCCUGCACCCCAAGGACAGACUGUGGGUGGGGGUGUCCCCACUCGGAAAGCAGGGCUGGGUGAGGACAUGAAGUGUGCAGGCAAUGGCCUGAAAGCCCGAGGUGAGGAGGGAAGGUGAGGAGCAAGGGUGCUGGCCGAGGGGUCAGGCGAGUGCCAGGACCCUGUGACAGGCACCCAGAAAUCCUUGGAAGGAUCCCCAGGAGCAGGGGUCCCCAACCUCUGGGCUGUGGACUGGCACCUCCUGUCAGAUCAGUGGCAGCAUUAGAUGAUUAUUAGAAAUAAAGUGCACAAUAAAUGUAAUAUGCUUGAAUCAUCCCAAAACCACCCCCUCCCAGGUCCAUGGAAAAAUUGUCUUCCUUGAAACUGGUCUCCACUGCCACAAGGGCUGGGGGCCUCUGCCUAGGAGCACUGGACUGCUGUCAGGGAGGUGCAAAGCUGAAGAUUCUCAUUUGGUUUGAAGGGAAGGGCCACCCCAGCUGGUUGGCCAACACUGGGGACCCCUCACCAUGUGACAUGGGGCAUUUGUAAUACCUUCCAGGGUGCUGGGUAGCUGGCAGCAGAAAAGUUUGUUAGCAGUACUGACUGGGAAGGUGAGGAGGUGGGACCAAGCUAUGCUAGAAGCUACCUCAGUGAAUAGCGUGGAAAGAUCUCUGGUCUCGGGCUUGACGCCUGCAGGCGUAGGGCUCCCCGUGGUCCCCAGCCCUGGCGAAUGGCACACUCCCAUUGGUCCCCUCACCCCCAGAAGACUACACUUUUGUCAUCCUUGUCACUAAUGCUUCCUCAGCUCUCCAGAUUGAUUUUUCCUUUUGUUUCCUCUGGAGCCCCUGACGAACACCAGAAUGUACCAUACGUUCACAUCUGUGCACUUAAGGGAGAAAGCAGAGUGGAGAUAGGCAUUUGGACUUACAGAAAGGAAUCCUGGAAAGUUUCCCAGAGCCUAGAGCGCCUUAUUCCUGAUCUCCACCCUGAACUCCUCUCAGGGUGUGUUGAAGGUCAGUGAUGGCAGGGGCGGGUGACUCAACCCCCACACAGCUGGAUGGCGGGCCACCUGCUUUGGUUGGCGGAAUUGGCUCAAUCCCGUCUAGGCCUUUCACCGAGGACGCUCCAGAUCUUGAGCGAGAGGAACUACAGCACCGCACCCCCUCUGCCACAGCCAGGUACCACCUGCCUCUCUCCCUCCUCCUGUCCUUCCAGGGCUCUGGCUUCAGCCACCGGUGUCCUUCCACCAGGAGAGAUCACAGAACCAAAUCACACAAGUGGAAGACGGUGGGGACCAGCCCCCCAAGCCAGCACCGUCCAGAGACAGCUUCCACCUUGCUUGCUCCAGCUUUGACAGGUGCUGUUCAGUCUGUGGUUUUUGCCACUGGAAGUCUCCAAAAGGCCCGGCAAGACCCAUUCCUCUGGCUCACUUGCCAUGUGAAACACCCCAGGCAUGUGGCCAGAGCUUGGAAAAUGUCCCCCCACACCCUUCUCUAUGUCUGACCCCAGGGCCUCACCCCCAGGUGAGGGUGACAGAGAGCCCAGAACCACACCCAGGGAGGACCUCAACCGCACGUAGAGAGCUUUGACCUUUGCUAUUUCCCAUCGGCUUUGUGGACUCAUCAGAGGGACCAGCUGGGGAACAAAACUGCAUUCACCGGAACUUGGCACUGGUUCCCUCAUUAAUCCGCCAAGUCACAGUUAUGGGGCAGGGAGGGGCCGAGUGCUCUGACAGCCUUUCAGCCGCAACAGUGGGUAAUGACCCGCCAGUGUUGUGCGUGAGUCACGAGCAGAGUGAGGUCUGGACUCGGGUGCAGCAUCUCCUCGCCCUCACCGGGCACCCAGGUCUAGAGGACGCCCUUCCCUCCCUUCACGUGACUCCUGACUUCCUUUGGGGAGGCAGGUAUAAUGGACACACAGAUCGGCCCAGCAGCUACAUAAGCGGUGUGACCUCAAGUUCAAAGCCAAAGGUCUUCCUUCUGCCGCAGGACCACAACCCCCCAGAUGGUUACCUUUGUCCCCCUUUAGGGGAUGGGCACAUCUCCUGGCAGCUCUGGCAAAAGUGAGCACCUGGUCUAGACGCUUGGGAAAUACUGGGUGAGGGCAGCCUGUGCGUCUCUGAAGCAAUGUCCCUGGGCCUUGCUCAGACGUCCCCCUCUCCAUUCAGGUAGCAGCCAAGGUUAGUUCAUAAGUCAGCUAAGCCCUGGGCAGAGGCUGGCGUGGGUCUGUUUUACUUGGGUGGCAAGGAAUCACAGACCGCCUCUGGAGAGGCAGGGCCUGUCCAUCUCAGAGGCAGAUCCAAGGGCAGGAGGGAUCCUCAGCUGAGGCCAGGCUGUGGAGAGAGCUGGGGGGUGGCGGGGGGAGCCCCUCCACAAGGACUGAGGAGACACGGGGCCCCAGACUCAUGCUGAGCUUCGGGGGAAAGCCUUGUCCCCUUGUUCCAUCAGCUGCCCCAUUUACCUUGUGCCAGACUCAGGGCAAAACCGUCUUCACGUGAAUUCAGUUUCCACAUGGACAUCUAACGCUCAGCGAGGUGAACUGCCCAGAAACAGUUGAGCUGGAAUUUGAGCCCUUAUCUGCCUGGAGCCUAACUGUCCCCACUUUCCAGAACAUUCCCUCACAUUUAGCCACAGAUCUGAGCAGGUUUUGGGGAGAGAGGGAGAGAGGAGGAAUGAAGGGGGCCAGCUCAGAGGCAGAGAGGAAAUGGCGAGGUCCAGGCUUAGCGGGAAAUCCUGGUCACAUCCACAAACGCCAUUAGCACAGAAACGGAACCAUUUUAAUGUCAAGGCCCGAUGCACUCCGCCCCCCUCCUGAUGGCCAGGGUAGAAUACAUUUUCAGCUGGCCUUUAAAUUACAUGUUCUUUCAGCAGCUGGAGCCUGCUGAAAGACCUGGGAAGCCUGGGAAGACCCAGAGGUCUUCCUAAAUUAAGCCUUUGAAAUAAAAAUAAUGAUAAUUUCAGGUAACAAAGCCAAUAUGCUUCUAGAAGUAUAUUGUAACUAGAAGUCUCUUGACCUCUGAGGCCCAUACUGUUCUUGCUCGCCUGGCCCCUGCUUUUAGUGGACUUGCUGGAAGGAGCUCCAGAGAAGAGGGGACGUCCUGAUAAAGUUUGGGCCGGCAAAUGCAGAGGAGGGAGGCAGCCUGAGCAGAAGCUGAUGGCCACACAUCUGGCAGUGCCUGCCAAGUCCCUGGACAGUCAGCUUCAUCAGGCUCUUCUGCGUUCCCUGUGGGCUUCCUCUGCCAGGGGCUCACGGAGCAUUCUGGAGCUGUGUCCACUUGGUGGUGUAGGACUCGCCUCCCCGCUCCAAAGUUCCCUAGGGAAACUUCCCAUGCAAAACAAGCUGAAAAUGCCUGCCAAUCACUGGGACAGUCUCUUCCAGCUCUUUCUUGCUGGGUGACCUUGAGCAGGUUACUUAACUUCCCUCCUGUUUUCUUAUCUGGGAGAGGAAUAGGACACCAGCAUAACCUACCCCCUAGGGUCGUGCUGGGAGUAUAGUGUUGUCAGCAGAGUUUACAGAUAAGGACUUAAACAGGACAAACACCUUUGCCCAAGGUCAUGGAGUGUAGUGGCCAGGGCUUGAAGACACCUGGGCCUGCUCCAGGCACGGUUAGGAGUCAGGCCACACCUCCUCCCAGAAGCCCUUCAGGCCUGAAUUUCUAUCCCUGACCUCUGCUUAGGUUGUUUGGGAUUGAAACCGGGGCCACACUUAGUCAUGCUCCCAACUCCCAUGUGGGUGGGUGGACCUUUACUGUUGUUCAUCAGCAGUUGGUGGGCCCAGUAGGGAGUUUGGCCGGAGAAGUUAUACCGAGGAAACUGAAAUGUGAGAACAAGAUUAGAAACGGGGUUGGAAUGCUUGGGCCCGGGCAGGGAGGGACACAUGCCCCCAGGAACGCCUGUGUUCUCCCUGGCCUUUGAGUCGCCUCCUGGGGGGACAGGCCCCAGGCAUGGCGACGGGGGAGGCAGGCACGCGGGGCCCACACGUGGGUGACUGAGCCCGGCCGGUCCUCAGGGAUGUGAGCUCGUUUAAUCUCCACAGCAACCCUAGGAGAUGCUGAUCAGUGUGCGUUUUACAGACCGGGAAGCUGAAGUCCAUUAAAUAAGGUUCUCAGAACCAAGGAAGAUUUAGCCCCGGUCUGCCGGGCCCAGAGGCUCUGGGUGACAGCUGUCCUCGGGUAGCAGUGAUCUGCACUUGCCCAGCCUGGGUUCCUUCCCAUGGCGAAAGUCUCAUAACGCUUUGACCCAGAGGCUCAGGGAAACUGAGGCAGAGCUGGGCUUCCAGGAGGCAAGGGAUUGAAGAGGAAGGAAAGAGGGAGACAGAAAAGGAAGAGGAACAGAAAGAAGUGAUCGAAACAGGGAAUUCAAAGCUCUCUCUCUACAGCCCACUGAGGCAACGCAUGAGAGGCAGCUGGAAGCAACAGCAAACAACGUUGCAACUUGCUACCUGCUCGCAAAACAAGAAGACAGACCUGUUCACCAGCCACAGGAACGGCUGCUUUCCUUUAUCCUUUCUCUGGGGGCUCAGAGAUGGAUAAGCUCAGGAGAGAAACAUGAGCAGUUGGUAGGAGAUGGUGGGAGACUUGGGCUGGGGGAGAGCAGGCAGCCCAGAGCAGAGCUGGGUCAGAUUCAUUCAGACCCAGGGGGACCUGCAGACUCUGGCUGAUGGGAUAAGGCCACGACACACACAGACAGGAUGCGGGGUUGGGGUCAUCCUACCCAGGCCUCCAUCCUGGGUCCUCCUCUCUGCAACCCAAAGCUGGGACCCUCGCACCCCACCCCCUCAGGGUCCCCGCACUCCCUGCUGGCUCGCAUUCUAGCUCUGACCUUGAUUAGACCAAUGAAAGACACUGGGAUUGCCUUGACCAGCUCCCGCAUCCCUUUCAGGUAGAGUAGGAAGGUAGGUAGGAAUUUUGUUGCAGUCCUCAGCAGGUUUACUACUUGUUUCUGUGUGACUUUAUAUCUGCCCAAAGGGUUUAGAAGCCUCACAGGGCUCCCUGGAGGACUGGUCAGGCCCUGGCAGGACCUCACUGCCACCUCAUUGUCCCAGAUGGAGACCAGGAAGAGCCGGCCUGAGA